Molecule: non-coding RNA, 72 nt
Organism: Potamilus streckersoni
Lineage: Eukaryota; Metazoa; Mollusca; Bivalvia; Unionida; Unionidae
Source: the annotation of a GenBank genome assembly
GCUCUGGUGGAUUAGUGGUUAGAGCGUCCGCCUCGGAUUCGGGAGGUCGUGGGUUCGAUGCCCGGUUGAGUA